UAAAGAACUAAUCAAAUCUCUUUAAUGUUUAAGCCUACUUGUGUCUGACAUUUUGUUACUUGCAGCCGAAAGCAGCCUAGCUGAUACACAAUCGUCCACCUGCCCCCGGUCACCCUUACAGCUCAGAGGUGAACUCUAGAGAAAUGCAAAGCCCCAAUUGGGAGCCAGCCAGAGACUCUCCUGGUCUUUAGCUGGGAAAAUAGGACUGCGGGGGUGGGGGCAGCAUCAGAUGGAUCACAGACUCCAAGCAAAGGCAUGAUAGGAGUUUAUUUACAGACAAGACACAGCAACCAGCACCCACUUGGGCUCUGACCAGGGGAGGUGGUAGACAAGACCCCAGAUAUAUAUAAAUAUACAUAUAGGUCCCAGCACCUUCAGCACCAGAACGUUCCCCAGCCAGGUCCCUGCCAGAAGGACCAAGAGUCAGGCAGGAUUGAGGACACAGAAAAGAGAGGGCCCCAGUCUUUGCCAGGUAUCAGUGAUCACCUGUUAUGGUCCCCAUG
Molecule: non-coding RNA, 503 nt
Filed under: Pongo abelii (Sumatran orangutan)
Lineage: Eukaryota; Metazoa; Chordata; Mammalia; Primates; Hominidae
Source: RNAcentral